GACGAACGCUGGCGGCGUGCUUAACACAUGCAAGUCGAACGGUGAAGCGCCUUCCUUUUUGGUGGGUGUGGAUGAGUGGCGAACGGGUGAGUAACACGUGAGUAACCUGCCCCCUUCUUCUGGAUAACCGCAUGAAAGUGUGGCUAAUACGGGAUAUUCUGGGUCUGUCGCAUGAUGGGUCUGGGAAAGAUAUUGUUUCGGUGGGGGAUGGGCUCGCGGCCUAUCAGCUUGUUGGUGGGGUGAUGGCCUACCAAGGCGGUGACGGGUAGCCGGCCUGAGAGGGUGGACGGUCACACUGGGACUGAGACACGGAGCAGACUCCUACGGGAGGCAGCAGGGGGGAAUAUUGCACAAUGGGCGCAAGCCUGAUGCAGCGACGCCGCGUGAGGGAUGGAGGCCUUCGGGUUGUGAACCUCUUUCGCCAGUGAAGCAGGCCUGCCUCGUUUGUGGGUGGGUUGACGGUAGCUGGAUAAGAAGCGCCGGCUAACUACGUG
Molecule: ribosomal RNA, 494 nt
Filed under: uncultured bacterium
Lineage: Bacteria
Description: partial 16S ribosomal RNA
Rfam family: Bacterial small subunit ribosomal RNA
Source: RNAcentral